RNAcentral lists this long non-coding RNA (444 nucleotides) under Androctonus crassicauda. The record is from RNAcentral. Lineage: Eukaryota; Metazoa; Arthropoda; Arachnida; Scorpiones; Buthidae.
AAAAAGUUAGUCAAAUAAAAAGAGAAAGUUAUGCACAACUGCCAGAAAUGUUGAGUUUUUUUGUGAAAGUAUUAGAGUGCAUAAGGCAGUAUAGUAGUUAUGGUAUGGAAAUUUGCUAUCAUUUGUGCUUCUGCUCAUAUGGUGGCAAACUUGAUUUGAAAGUUACAUCUGAAGAUGUUUUUGAGAUGCUGAACUCCUAUAAUGAAUAUCUCAAACUUAACAAUCUUAUUGAAAUAAGGAAGCAAAGCAUGAAAAAUUGGAUUUCAAUCUAAGCCAGAAAUAAGAUUAUCACAAUUUCAAAAUUGAUUGAGGCGGUUGGACUUAUUGAACCUACAUGGAGAUUCUUGAAGACUGAUUCAAAUAUGCAAUGAACAACAACAAUUCAAGGAAUAAAGGGGAUAUAAAAGUAUAUAUUAAUUUCUAGCACUUCUGGGCGGUUCCAGU